Molecule: transfer RNA, 71 nt
Filed under: Amblyglyphidodon curacao (staghorn damselfish)
Lineage: Eukaryota; Metazoa; Chordata; Actinopteri; Pomacentridae
Description: tRNA-Cys
Rfam family: tRNA
About the family: Transfer RNA (tRNA) molecules are approximately 80 nucleotides in length. Their secondary structure includes four short double-helical elements and three loops (D, anti-codon, and T loops). Further hydrogen bonds mediate the characteristic L-shaped molecular structure. tRNAs have two regions of fundamental functional importance: the anti-codon, which is responsible for specific mRNA codon recognition, and the 3' end, to which the tRNAs corresponding amino acid is attached (by aminoacyl-tRNA synthetases). tRNAs cope with the degeneracy of the genetic code in two manners: having more than one tRNA (with a specific anti-codon) for a particular amino acid; and 'wobble' base-pairing, i.e. permitting non-standard base-pairing at the 3rd anti-codon position.
Source: RNAcentral
AAGCCUUGAGGUGUUUUACAUAUCAGAUUGCAAAUCUGAAGAAGUAGGCUAAUUACCUACCGGGGCUUUCC